RNAcentral lists this long non-coding RNA (277 nucleotides) under Lathyrus oleraceus (garden pea). Its description in RNAcentral is "Pisum sativum (pea) long non-coding RNA (PSAT_LNC027342)". The record is from RNAcentral. Lineage: Eukaryota; Viridiplantae; Streptophyta; Magnoliopsida; Fabales; Fabaceae.
UCUUGGUUACAAAAUUGAUACAAAUGGUAAUGAGUUUGACCAGCCUUCUAAGAGAACAUAAAUUGCUUUGGUAACUUAAUGUAAAUUUUGCUAUAUUACUGAUAUGCUUCUCAAAUUGAUAACCUUAUUUUCACUUUUAUUUUUUUGUUAUUCCUUAUUCUAAUAUUAUGCUAACUUGGGGCUAUACUUUGAUGUUGUAUUUGUAUAGGACAAGGUCUCUACUCAAAGAAAUCAAAGAUGGAGGGACUAAGAUGCUACUAGUUUGAGGGACCCCAAC